This is a long non-coding RNA of Solanum lycopersicum (tomato), 603 nucleotides long. RefSeq lists it as uncharacterized. Lineage: Eukaryota; Viridiplantae; Streptophyta; Magnoliopsida; Solanales; Solanaceae. The record is from RefSeq and is a predicted model, not a curated record.
AUGCAAUGACAUGUUAUAACUCUAAAUAAAAUUCAGUGGGCUUUGAAUGAGUAUGUACAGUUGGCCCAUAUGGCUUUGACCCGUUAUUCAUCAAAUGAGAGUAGAAGCUUUGAACUUGGGCGGCAGUUACAGGGUAAUCAAAGCCCCUUCCUUGAAGACAAUUUUCUCCAUAACAAGGUUUUUUUGGUAUCAAGAGGAUUCGAACUGAUCAAAACAUUUGAUUAAAGAUGAAGAAGUAGUUACCACCGUCCUCCAUAACCUUUGUUGGUGAGAUUCUACUUUAGUUAUCACUUGAUGAGUGUUUCAAUUCCACUAUUAAUUUUAUAGCAUCUACUCUGUCACUAUUAAUUUUAUAGCAUCUACUCUGUCACUUGACAUAGCCAGCACAUGUUAUUACAAUAAGUAUUUCCUUCCUUCGUAAUUUUUGGGUGAUCAGUUUUAUGGCUACUGCACAUGUUAUUUUUUUUUAAAGUUGUAUGAUAUUCCAUUGGAGAUAGAUAAAAUAUUGUAUAUUAUUCAACUUAUGUAAAUUGAUCAUAAGAAACUAUUUCUUUAUAUUUUUCUUCGUUAUUCAACACCUUGUUCUGUCGAGAGUGUUCAAAA